CUAGGAGCUGACAAGCAAUUCCACUGGGUUAUAUUAUUAUCAUUCAAAUGUAUUUCUUUAAAUUAUCAUUCAAAACCUAUUUCUGUAUAGUUCAUUUUUGAAAGAGUAAUCUUUUAAAAACCAAAACCCCAAAUCAUAUACCCAUAUAAACAAGUGAUCUGUCAUAAGUUUUUUUCUGCAUUUCUGCUUCCACAGUUCUUCCUCUGGAUGUGGAUAGUGUUCUUUCUCACAAGUCCCUCAGAAUUGUCCUGGAUCAUGGCAUUGCUGCCAGUAGAGAAGUUCAUUACAUUCGAUUGUACCACAAUGUAUCCAUCUCUGUGUACAAUGUUCUCCUGGUUCUGCUCCUCUCACUUUGCAUCAGUUCAUUGAGGUCCUCCCAGUUCAUAUAGAAAUGCUCCAGAUCAUUAUUCCUUUGAGCACAAUAGUAUUCCAUCCCCAAUAUGUACCACAAUUUGUUCAGCCAUUCCCCAGUUGAGGGACAUCCUCUCUCUUCUGAUUUUUUCCACCCAGGUUUGUCUUUUAAGGGCUACCAGGACAUUGUUCAUCCUUUUUCCAGACAAUUUCAAAGCCUUUUCCAUUUCAGACAACUUUUUCCUGUCUUAUAAGCUGGAUGACAGUAUAGUUAGGGCACUGUGCUCUAUUACUGCAUUACUUCAUCGCCUCUGCUUUCUGAUUAUAUUUACUAGCGGAGGGGACAGAGAAACCAAAUUCCCACCCUAACCAUCACCUCAACAGCAAGAUCCCAGAGGAUGAUUUUAUCCUUUUGAGGAUGAAUCAGCAUGAUUGAACAUGACUUUUACUUGGAGAACUUAAGUUUCUGCAGUGUGAUUGUGUAUACAAGGUAAAUGAGACAUCCAUUCCGCCCCCUCCAAGUCAGCCCGGCCCGCUAACGUCGGAUUCCAUCCUUAAUGCCUCUCUCCUACUGACUCAUCCUAGCCAGCCCGCAGUACUUCUGUCCGGGCUCGCAUUUCGGCUGCCUUCUCUUCUCUGCUACUGCCAUCCCCUGGUCAUUGCACCGCCCGACUCAGGUUCGCACUGCCAGUUGUUCUUCCUGCCCCGAGGCGCUCUCUGCUGCACUCCAUUGCCCGAGGGACCUUCCGGAAGUGCAUGUGGAUUCAACGAGCUCCGGGGAUGUCCCGCGACCUCCAGCAUCCAAUAUAAACCACUCCCGUUGUCAGUUGCGCCCCCCACAGCCCACCCCUUCCUUCCCUCUCAGGCUUUCCCAUCCCGCCGCAGUGGCGUCGCUGCUCCUCGCGUUAGGGGGCAGAUGAGAACAAUGUUCCAGUGGCCAUAAAGGAGACUCUGUGGAGUACUGAGAGCCGGGUUAGAGAGCAAAGAAGCCAAGGCCAUGGGCUUCAUCAUGAGCCGUCACCACUUGGGCUUGCCGCUGUACUUGGAUGGUCCUGGAAGAGAACGUGAGGCCAAUGACUUUGCAUAAUAAUUCUGUCUCAGUCAAUACAAUUUGUACAUGAAUCAUACAUAAUGCAGGUCCAUCACAAUGGUGUCAUUUUGAUCCUUUGAGUACAAAGGACAACAACUAAUUACACACACACAUAUAUAUUAAUUAUAUUGCCAAUCUCUUGGUUGUAUAUAGUUGUUGGCAGGUUUUUUUCUCCCAUUAGACUAUGAAUUCCAUAUAUUUAUCUUUCGUGUGUGUCCCCUUGCCGUCAAGCAUAGUUCAUGGCAUGGUAAAGUGCUAGAUCAAUGCUUAGUGACUGAUCAAUCUUUGAAGAUAAGGGCAUAAUAUCAUAACCAUCAUUAAUAAAUGAAAGAUGCAUGUCUUCCUUAACA
This 1791-nucleotide long non-coding RNA is filed under the name Monodelphis domestica (gray short-tailed opossum). RNAcentral's name for it is "lncRNA (ENSMODG00000040533.1)". The record is from RNAcentral. Lineage: Eukaryota; Metazoa; Chordata; Mammalia; Didelphimorphia; Didelphidae.